UACAGGGGAUGCAAGUGUUAUCCGGAAUUAUUGGGCGUAAAGCGUCUGCAGGUUGAUAAAUAAGUCCUUUGUUAAAUCUCUGAGCUCAACUCAGAAUCUGCAAAAGAAACUAUUUAUCUUGAGUAUGGUAGAGGUAAGGGGAAUUUCCAGUGGAGCGGUGAAAUGCGUAGAUAUUGGAAAGAACACCAACAGCGAAGGCACCUUACUGGGCCAGUACUGACACUCAGAGACGAAAGCUAGGGGAGCAAACGGG
Molecule: ribosomal RNA, 253 nt
Filed under: uncultured bacterium
Lineage: Bacteria
Description: partial 16S ribosomal RNA
Rfam family: Bacterial small subunit ribosomal RNA
Source: RNAcentral